This is a long non-coding RNA of Apodemus sylvaticus (European woodmouse), 271 nucleotides long. RefSeq lists it as uncharacterized. The record is from RefSeq and is a predicted model, not a curated record. NCBI's taxonomy places the organism in Eukaryota, Metazoa, Chordata, Mammalia, Rodentia, Muridae. The transcript is spliced from 3 exons.
GCCCCACCCCCCUCCUCCUCAUCCACCUCACAUUUCCCAGCAGAGCUGUCACAGCUGACGAAAUGCAGUUCUUCGUGGAGAUGAGCUCUGGCAACCAGGACAUGCGCUUGGAAACUUUAUUAGAUGCCGAAGUCAAGAAGCCAGGAGAUGGCAGUUGCCACUCUUCACACUACAGCAAGACCAUUCAGGCAGUAUUUUCCUCUUGGCCUCGUCAGCAGAUGGCGGUAUUGCCCUGAAGGCUGGAUUAGCAUCACCAUUGCCUGCAGGCAGA